Hyaena hyaena (striped hyena) is the source of this 514-nucleotide long non-coding RNA. RefSeq lists it as uncharacterized. NCBI's taxonomy places the organism in Eukaryota, Metazoa, Chordata, Mammalia, Carnivora, Hyaenidae. The record is from RefSeq and is a predicted model, not a curated record. The transcript has 3 exons.
CUUUCCUGUCCUGAAGUCCUCUCUUCCUCCUCACCUGGUCCCCGGCCCUGCCACUAACAGGAGUGGUUUCUACUUUGUUAAUCAGGAACCCGUGGACAGAUACUAUGCAUACAGUAGAAGGUUACAAGGACAGGAGCCCUCUUCUGAGUGUGGAAUGUUCAACCAAAGCAAAGAGCACUAGUAGCAGGUGGCCAAGGAGUAUAGAAAAGCAAAGUACUCACCAUUGGUGUGUUACAGAGAAAUUUCCCACAAAAGUCACUCACUCUGGGAGAAUCCAGCUACCAUGUUGUCAGGACCCUCAAGCAUCCUUCUGGAGAGGUUCGCUUGGAAAAGGACUCAGGUCUUCAGCCAGCACCCAAGAAAUUGAAACUUUCUGUCAACAGCCAUGUGAGUGAACCACCUUGGAAGUGGAUGACUGUAGUCCCAGAUACAUCUUGACUGCAACUUUGUGAGAGACUCUGAGCCAUACUCCCCAAACUAAGCUGCUCCUGAAUGUCUAACCUGCAGAAACUGU